This 18-nucleotide small RNA is filed under the name Arabidopsis thaliana (thale cress). RNAcentral describes it as "ATSL049260". The record is from RNAcentral. Lineage: Eukaryota; Viridiplantae; Streptophyta; Magnoliopsida; Brassicales; Brassicaceae.
CAAAAACCCAAAAAAAAA